UCAAUGGUGGUUCAGUGGUAGAAUGCUCGCUUUCCAUGUGGGAGAUCUGGGUUCGAGUCUUGACCAAUGUA
Molecule: transfer RNA, 71 nt
Filed under: Loxodonta africana (African savanna elephant)
Lineage: Eukaryota; Metazoa; Chordata; Mammalia; Proboscidea; Elephantidae
Rfam family: tRNA
About the family: Transfer RNA (tRNA) molecules are approximately 80 nucleotides in length. Their secondary structure includes four short double-helical elements and three loops (D, anti-codon, and T loops).
Source: Rfam by way of RNAcentral